Molecule: ribosomal RNA, 646 nt
Filed under: uncultured bacterium
Lineage: Bacteria
Description: bacterial SSU rRNA
Rfam family: Bacterial small subunit ribosomal RNA
Source: RNAcentral
AUAACAGUUGGAAACGGCUGCUAAUACCGCAUAAGCGCACGGCAUCGCAUGAUGCAGUGUGAAAAACUCCGGUGGUAUAAGAUGGACCCGCGUUGGAUUAGCUAGUUGGUGAGGUAACGGCCCACCAAGGCGACGAUCCAUAGCCGACCUGAGAGGGUGACCGGCCACAUUGGGACUGAGACACGGCCCAAACUCCUACGGGAGGCAGCAGUGGGGAAUAUUGCACAAUGGGCGAAAGCCUGAUGCAGCGACGCCGCGUGAGCGAAGAAGUAUUUCGGUAUGUAAAGCUCUAUCAGCAGGGAAGAUAAUGACGGUACCUGACUAAGAAGCACCGGCUAAAUACGUGCCAGCAGCCGCGGUAAUACGUAUGGUGCAAGCGUUAUCCGGAUUUACUGGGUGUAAAGGGAGCGCAGGCGGUGCGGCAAGUCUGAUGUGAAAGCCCGGGGCUCAACCCCGGUACUGCAUUGGAAACUGUCGUACUAGAGUGUCGGAGGGGUAAGCGGAAUUCCUAGUGUAGCGGUGAAAUGCGUAGAUAUUAGGAGGAACACCAGUGGCGAAGGCGGCUUACUGGACGAUAACUGACGCUGAGGCUCGAAAGCGUGGGGAGCAAACAGGAUUAGAUACCCUGGUAGUCCACGCCGUAAAC